Long non-coding RNA from Phyllopteryx taeniolatus (common seadragon), 4510 nucleotides. RefSeq lists it as uncharacterized. NCBI's taxonomy places the organism in Eukaryota, Metazoa, Chordata, Actinopteri, Syngnathiformes, Syngnathidae. The record is from RefSeq and is a predicted model, not a curated record. The transcript is spliced from 2 exons.
CGAGCCAAACAUCCUGUUCAUUCGGCGAUGUGCGCUAUGGUUCCAUGCUGUUGUUCCCGUCCUCGUAUAUUGGUUGUCGUAUGAUUUAGCGAUGUCAUGAUGGUUUAUUGUGUGACAUUUGGUUGUGCAAAUGUUUCAGGCAGUGGCAAGAGUUAUAUUUUUGGGCUUUCCAAGUGAAAAAGGAAUAUGUGACCAGUGAAUAGGGAAAGUCAAUCGACAUGGGAAGAAACGUGGUCAGCUAUUUUUGUCCUUCAAAAUGUGUGAGUGUAGUUUAGCGCAUUCCAAAUGUGUGCUGAUCAAUUCGAACCGGCGUGUUUUGAGAAAGACUGAGUAGAAAGCAUUGGAUACAGAGGUAGAGGCUGAAACUAUUUUUCCUACGGCCUUCGGGACCUCAACCGCCAGCAAGAGAACUAAAUCUCGCAGGGGCCAUGGUGCAAAGGUGAAGCGGCGCCGACAAGAGCUGCUACUUGGCUGCUCGUCGUCGUCACUGUCUGAUCGCCUCAAACAUGUACGCUUUGACGAUGCCAAGUUCAGUUGGGUGUACCUCGAAAUCCUCCUCCUCCACAUAUUCCAACACGUCGCUCGACAUUGCAACGUCAUUUCUGGUAGCCCUAGCGGUGGAUAGAGUAACCACACCCCGGUGUCUUGAGCUUCGGGUAUGUCUCAAUAUGCGUCAUAAAAAACUAAUUUUUAGCUAAACUAUGUUUGAAAACUUGCUGGAAAUUAUGUGCAUGUAACAUAUAAACAAUGCAAAUAUGAAUUUUAACUGACCCCAUAACAUCUUUGUUGCAGACUGCGUACCUUUUUUUUUUUUUUUUACUGAAUCAGAACUACUAGAGUAUUUUUUGACACAUCUUUACUUCUACUUGAGUACAGCGUGUGAGUACUUUUGCCCCCUCUGGCGGAUGUGACAAGCUGCUUUCAGCGCCAUUGGCAUUUUGUCUGUCACUGAUCACACGUCAGCAGACACUUCCGGCUCACUGACUCCUCUCCAUGCUUUCAUGUCGACGUCUCCCAGCACCGCCUUCAUUUUGAAUGAGUGGGCAGGUCCCCACAAACCUUCCCUGAGUCUCUCCUCUCCACGUCAUCAUGUCCAACCGUGACGACCGAGUGGACAGUUUCAUGAUUUCGUGCAACACUGUCAUUGCUUACAUCCAACAAUUCUUGCGCAAUCAGCUGUGUGCGUGUGCAUUAGCACGUGUGAGGCCGCGCACCCACUAGUGCGUGUCUGCGUGAGAUGAUGUGUGUGAUGUGUGGAAGCGAAGCAUAUUUGCCUCCAAGCUAUAUCAUUUGCAUACCUGUCACAGCCCCUCCGCUGGGUGUCAGGUGCACUGAUGCAUAGUGCGUUCCAGUGGCAGCUCUCCUAUUUCAUGGCUUUCCACUGUUGUGUGGCGCACGUCUGAGUGUCAGCUGACAAUGAGUGUGUGUGUUUGUGCAGAUCCAGAGGCAAACACACAGUCCCCGGCGAGGACAACACGAUUAAAAUCUUCCACGGAGGAGUUAGAGCCUGAAUGUACUUUAAAGUUUGGCAAAGUCUUCAAGGUAAAAAAAUCUCCACAUAAUGCAUAAACGUGUUCACAUGAACAACGACAACAAGGUCCCAUAGCCUUUCAACCAUAAUUUUCACAUCAAUUUUCUACUCCAUUCGUCCUCAUUCGGAUCGCAGGUAAACGGGAGCCUAUCCCACGUAACUGUACUGGAUUACAGUUAAAUCUUUUUUUGUAUUCUGAAUACGUAACGCCGGCAGAUGUAUUCCGUUACUCCCCAAGCCUGUACACGGCACAGAGUAGUCUCAAAUGAACCUAACAUGCAUUUUUUGGGGGGAAUCUAGGGGAAAGACCGAGUACCUGCAGAAAACCCACACAAGCACGGUGAGAACAUGCAAACUCCAAACAGGAGGGCCGGAGCCAAGAUUCGAACCCCGAACCUCAGAACUGUGACGCAGACAUGCAAACCACUGGAUCUACUGUGCUGCCCAUCGCAAAUUCCAUCCAGCCAUCCAUUUUCUAUAUCGCGUGUCCUCAUUAGGGUCGCGGAUGUGCUACCCCAGCUGACUGGGUGAGAGGCACGGUACACUCUGGACGAGGGGUUGAAUGAAUGAAGAUUUUUUUGUAGUCGACUAGAAUGUGAUGAAAGGCAAGUCAAAUGUUAUUAACCAAUGACUGUCAUUGAUACUUUUUUUCAGCACAGAACAGCAGUCCCCAACCUUUUUUCUGCCACGGACUGGUUUCACGUAAAGACAUAUUUUGACAGACUGGCAUGGAAACAAAUACAAAAAAAAUGUUUGAAAAUACAACUCACAUUACGCUGAAGGUAGUUGUUGCAAUCAGUGGGAGCCCUGCACGUUUUUCUCUUCAAUGAACCGCCAAGUCUGAUCUUGUGUCAUAACAAGGCUCCCAAAAAUUAAGGAAGCAUUUAGCUAUUUGUAUUUGACGACGGACUUGGAUAUUUUGUUAGUGACCGUGCUAUCGGUCUCAUUUUUGGUUAAAUAUUUCCACACGUUUUUAGCAUAGUAAGGCCAUAUGCUGUACUGCGACGUGUGUUAAGACACAGUGCACCAACAUCACAACACAAAUGUGAUUGUGCUGCAUGUUGUGACAUGAAUAAAGUUCUUGUCAUCACACAGUUGUUGACGGCAUAUUAUUAGACAUAACAUUUUUGCGUCAAAGAUGCAGUUUCACUUCACACCGCAGACCUCGUUUCUCACCACAAUUCCCGCAGUCCUGCAGGUAUAAAUCUUUUAAACCUAGCGGCAAUUGGAAUAGCUGAAGCUAGCGAGGCUAACCGCUAUUUUCAUCCACCACCCUCUUAUUUCCACGCAGACGUAUAAAGUCUGUGUUGCCUUGUUGGCCGGAAAUUCCACUGCUCCACACAGCGUUACAGGUGGCGAUGAGUCGAAAGUCUUCUGUAAAUUGGCCGAUUGGAAGACGAGAUGCCAAAAACACAUGAUUAGCGAUUGGAUGACUUCAGACUUUCAACGUCGAUGCGGAGUAGUAAAGUCAACUCAAUUAGUCGACUAAUCGGUUCAACCCCGACCCCGGACUGGUCGACAUCUAAUCGCAGUGUUACAUUGCUGCUAUGUGCCAAUAUGUUUCUUACCAGUUCUAUGAUCAUCAUCGAACAUCAUAGAACAGCUCAGCGUCACACUUGCCAUCUGCCAGUGGAUUUACAGCUUUCUGACGGGCAGGACACAGCAGGUCAGGCUGGGGGAGGCCUCAUCCACACGCAGCAUCAGCACUGGGGCGCCCCAAGGUUGUGUCCUCUCUCCGCUGCUCUUCUCUCUCUACACGAACGACUGCACCUCAGCGAACCCGACUGUCAAACUCCUGAAGGUUGCAGAUGACACCACUGUCAUCUGCCUCAUCAAGGACGGUGACGAGUCUGCAUAUCGACAGGAAGCGGAGCGGCUGGAGCUGUGGUGCGGCCGACACAACCUGGAGCUGAACACGCUCAAGACUGUAGAGAUGAUCGUGGACUUCAGGAGGCAUCCUUCGCCACAGCUGCCUCUCACGUUGUCCAGCUGCCUUGUGUCAACCGUCGAGACCUUCAAGUUCCUGGGAAUUACAAUCUCCCAGGACCUGAAGUGGGCGACCAACAUCAACUCCGUCCUCAAAAAGGCCCAGCAGAGGAUGUACUUCCUGCGGCUUCUGAGAAAGCACGGCCUGCCACCGGAGCUGCUGAGACAGUUCUACACAGCGGUAGUCGAAUCAGUCCUGUGUUCUUCCAUCACAGUCUGGUUUGGUGCUGCUACAAAAAAGGACAAACUCCGACUGCAACGGACAAUCAAAACUGCUGAAAGGAUUGUCGGUACCCCCCUACCCACCCUUGAGGACUUGCACGCUGCCAAAACUAAGACAAGGGCGUGCAAAAUCCUCUCGGACCCUCCCCACCCCGGUCACCAGCUCUUCCAGCUCCUUCCCUUAGGUAGGCGCUACCGAUCAAUGCAAACUAGAACUAGUAGACAUUCCAACAGCUUCUUCCCUCUUGCAAUCAACUUCUUAAACAGCUAACCUAUAAUUCCAUUACAACAAGCUGGCAAUUUUUUGACUUGAGUUCGUUGUCACAUUUCUGUGGGGCCAAUUAUGUAUUACUCGUGCACUCGCUGUAGUUGUCUCGCCAUGCUGCACUAUUUGCAUAUACUGGCCACUCAUGCCAGAGUAGCAUCUGCUCCAUUUGCACACUGAUUGAGGAGUAUCUGUAACAUUUGCACAACCAUUGUCCCAGAUUAUCGCACUACUCGUCACUUUAAACCGCAUACACUCCUUGAAGUCUCAGCGCCCUUUGCACAAUGGUCAUUGCACCGGACUAUUGCAAUAUUAGUCAUUCGAACUGCUCUAAGUGCUAGAGGACUCUGCAUCUUUUUGCACAAUUGUUUUUUGUCAAUGUCUUUAUGUCUCCAAAGUGUUCUGUAAAUUGACUGUCUGUUGUACUAGAGCGGCUCCAACUACCGGAGACAAAUUCCUUGUGUGUUUUGGACAUACUUGGCAAAUAAAGAUGAUUCUGAUUCUGA